CCUACGGGUGGCAGCAGUGGGGAAUAUUGGACAAUGGGGGGAACCCUGAUCCAGCGACGCCGCGUGAGUGAAGAAGUAUUUCGGUAUGUAAAGCUCUAUCAGCAGGGAAGAAAGACAUGACGGUCCCUGACUAAGACGCCCCGGCUAACUACGUGCCAGCAGCCGCGGUAAUACGUCGGGGGCAAGCGUUCUCCGGAUUUACUGGGUGUAAAGGGAGCGUAGACGGUUACGCAAGUCUGGAGUGAAAGGCGGGGGCCCAACCCCCGGACUGCUUUGGAAACUGGAUAACUGGAGUGCAGGAGAGGUAAGUGGAAUUCCUAGUGUAGCGGUGAAAUGCGUAGAUAUUAGGAGGAACACCAGUGGCGAAGGCGGCUUACUGGACUGUAACUGACGUUGAGGCUCGAAAGCGUGGGGAGCAAACAGGAUUAGAUACCCCUGUAGUC
Molecule: ribosomal RNA, 443 nt
Filed under: uncultured bacterium
Lineage: Bacteria
Description: partial 16S ribosomal RNA
Rfam family: Bacterial small subunit ribosomal RNA
Source: RNAcentral